This 82-nucleotide transfer RNA is filed under the name Candidatus Pacearchaeota archaeon. RNAcentral's name for it is "tRNA-Leu". It matches the Rfam family "tRNA". From Rfam's summary of the family: Transfer RNA (tRNA) molecules are approximately 80 nucleotides in length. Lineage: Archaea; Nanobdellati. The record is from RNAcentral.
GCCCCAGUAGCUCUAAUGGUAAGACACCAGUCUCAAAAACUGGGUUCUCGCGAACUUCCGGGUUCAAAUCCCGGCUGGGGCG